CCAUCGGCGUCGAAGGUAGGAGGACAACUUCUGCUGGAGCUUAUGGAAAAGCAAAUGUAGGUAUAAG
Molecule: ribosomal RNA, 67 nt
Filed under: Escherichia coli
Lineage: Bacteria; Pseudomonadati; Pseudomonadota; Gammaproteobacteria; Enterobacterales; Enterobacteriaceae
Description: partial 23S ribosomal RNA
Source: RNAcentral